RNAcentral lists this ribosomal RNA (253 nucleotides) under uncultured bacterium. RNAcentral describes it as "partial 16S ribosomal RNA". It matches the Rfam family "Bacterial small subunit ribosomal RNA", at positions 524 to 776 of the family's 1533-position model. The record is from RNAcentral.
UACGGGGGGGGCAAGCGUUGUUCGGAAUUACUGGGCGUAAAGGGCUUGUAGGUGGCCAACUAAGUCAGACGUGAAAUCCCUCGGCUUAACCGGGGAACUGCGUCUGAUACUGGAUGGCUUGAGUGUGGGAGAGGGAUGCGGAAUUCCAGGUGUAGCGGUGAAAUGCGUAGAUAUCAGGAGGAACACCGGUGGCGAAGGCGGGAUCCUGGGCCAGUACUGACGCUGAGGAGCGAAAGCGUGGGGAGCAAACAGG